Phoenix dactylifera (date palm) is the source of this 2514-nucleotide non-coding RNA. The record is from RefSeq and is a predicted model, not a curated record. NCBI's taxonomy places the organism in Eukaryota, Viridiplantae, Streptophyta, Magnoliopsida, Arecales, Arecaceae.
CUGGCACCACGACGACCGUGCGCUCACCGGCGGAUUCGACGGCACGCGGUCCUGCUUUAUAAAUAGGGAGAGGCGGCGAGCCGAGCGAAGGGAAGAGAGAAAGCGAGAGAGCGGGGGUAGGGUUUUAGGGUCUUGGGCCUGGGUCGAUGGCGACGACGAAACCGGCCUCGAAUGAGAAAUCGUCCGGAUUUUUUCGUGACUACGGCUGGGAUGUGAUGCUAGGAACCAUCGCUGCCUUAUAUGUAAUCAUGGUUCCCUACACCAAGGUUGAAGAGAGUUUCAACGUUCAGGCAAUGCAUGAUAUGCUUUACCAUCACUGUCACAUUAAGAAUCAGUACGACCAUUUGGAUUUUCCUGGUGUUGUUCCUCGCACUUUUAUGGGUGCACUUCUUGCAUCGAUUUUGGCAUCACCAGUGGUGUUCCUUAUGCAGUGUUUACACAUGCCAAAGGUUUACAGUCUCAUUGCAGCUUGUGCCAUACUAAUGAAGCCCGUGGCUGCAUGGGGCAAGGUGUGUUCAAAAGUGUACUGUUCGAUUGGUGUUAGGUUGCAUCAUAUUGUCGACACUACGAUUUUUUCGCAUUCAGCUGUGCAGUUUCACUUGUUGUUCUACUCAACACGCCCUCUUCCAAAUAUGUUAGCUUUUGGUUUGGUUAACUUGGCAUAUUCUUUCUGGUUUAAGGGAAAUGCCUCGGCAACUUUGAAAUGUUUGGCUGGCAUUUAUUUUGGACUAGAGAAUGGGUCAAAACAGACUUUUGCUACAAUUGUAUUUAGAUGUGAUACAAUGCUUCUCUUUGCACCAAUUGGCAUUGAACUUUUGCUGAGCAAAUCUAUUUCACUAUGGAAGGCGAUGAAAUGCUGCAUAGCCGCUGCUCUUCUAUCCAUAGGCUUUACAGUACUUCUUGAUACAGUAAUGUGGCAGAGAAUCGUGUGGCCAGAACUGGAAGUUUUUUGGUUUAACUCCAUUUUAAACCGGAGUUCAGAAUGGGGUACACAUCCAUUCCAUUGGUACUUCACUUCGGCUCUUCCUCGCUCCUUGCUUGUAGCUUAUCCUCUAUGCGUGAUAGGAAUGCUGUUUGACAGAAGGAUUUUGCGGUAUAUUGUUCCAGUUCUUUCAUUUGUUUUACUUUACUCAAAACUUCCACACAAGGAGCUCCGCUUUAUAAUUAGUUCAGUUCCAGUUUUCAAUGUAUCAGCAGCAAUUACAGCUAGCAGAAUAUAUAUCAAUAGGAAGAAGAAUGUUUGGAGGGAACUUUAUGUUAUGAUGCUUGGGUCUUUGCUGGUCAGUCUAGGAUGCUCUAUCAUGACCUUCAUGGCAUCAUAUGACAACUAUCCAGGUGCUUAUGCUUUAAAUGCUCUACAUGAAAAAGGUGCUUCUAAUUGUAUGGCAGAGAAGUGGGUCCAUAUUGAUGCCUUCACAGCAAUGAAUGGAGUCUCUCGUUUUUCUGAAAAUAAGUACCCUUGGAGAUACUCUAAAGAAGAAGGGAUUGCCUUGGAAGAAUAUCGUUACAGAAAUUUUACCUACCUGCUCAAUUUGGGUGGGCUUCACAAGACUGGCUCCAAAAACAGCACUCCUCUUCAAGAACACUUACCCAAGAGAGAGAAGAAGAGGAAGAAAAAGAAGGGAAAAAGCAAUGUUUCCCCUUCCAGCCCCGGCCCCCAGAUUGCACUAGUUCUCCUGCAAGGUGGGGGGGAACAUAUCGUAUCACAUGCUAGAUGCUCCCGUUCUGUCAUCAGUGAAUAUAGAAAGAAACGUCUUUUUCAUGAAUCACAGCUAUCUACAAGUGCAAGUGCAUUGCAUAUGCUAGACUCUUGUAAAGCCAGAGGGUUAAUGGUCAUGUCACCUUGAACAUCCUCACGUUGAUGGUUUCAAGUGCUUAUUUGUGGUGAAUGGAUUCUCCAAAGCCCGACUACAGACCAGCUUUCCACCAAUUGUCUUGUUAAAGGAGCCAAAAGUAUUUGUUCAUGGGAAUGCAAGAGACCAAGAUAUUAUUCUGUCAGACUGGCCGGGUUGUCCAUAGGGUUGUGUCAAGGAAUCAUAUCUUGCUGAUAUAGAAAAACUCGCCAUUCUGCGAAGCAAUUGCACAAGCAUGAGGUAGUUGAGAACAGCAAAUUGCAAGGCAAUAAUUUGUGUUGUUCAUCCCGAGUGAAUGAAUUGCCCAUACAAAUUAGCACUCAUAAGAUACAAUCUCCCAGAUUUAUCACUAAGGAGCAUGCUGAUUAUUUGUUAACAGAAUUGAAUCAUCGAUGUUUUAUAGUGAAUAUGCUUUUGGCUUAAAAUAUAUGAAAUUAGUUUGUAUUAUGUUCUGCAAAUAACUUGUUUAAUUACUUAAAUAGACAGUUUCAAUGAGGCAAAACAGUCUGAGAACUGUUCCUUCACAUGCCAGUGUGACUCAAACCAUCAAUGCUUCUCCUUGAUUUUAAGAAAGUCAAAGGAUAAUUGUCGUAUUUGCAACUAGUGUAUAGUUCUAAAUUUAUCGAUGUUAAAGAUGGGACACUUUUCCUUUUCUUCCUCA